AUACGUAGGGUGCAAGCGUUGUCCGGAUUUAUUGGGUCUAAAGGGUGCGUAGGCGGUGAAUUAAGUCAGUGGUGAAAGACGAUCGCUCAACGAUUGCAGUGCCAUUGAUACUGGUUCACUUGAGUAAUCCAGAGGUGGCCGGAAUUGACCGUGUAGCGGUGAAAUGCAUAGAUAUGGUCAAGAACACCGAUUGCGAAGGCAGGUCACUGGACAUUUACUGACGCUGAGGCACGAAAGUGUGGGGAUCAAACAGGAUUAGAUACCCCAGUAGUCC
RNAcentral lists this ribosomal RNA (274 nucleotides) under uncultured bacterium. RNAcentral's name for it is "partial 16S ribosomal RNA". It matches the Rfam family "Bacterial small subunit ribosomal RNA", at positions 523 to 796 of the family's 1533-position model. The record is from RNAcentral.